UGACUACAAAAAAGAUUGUGAGGAUAAAGGAAGUUGUUUAACUGUGUUCUGUUUCAGACUUUUAGAAAAUAAUAGGAGCAUAAGUUUGCAAGCAUCUAAAAACUGGGAUAAAGGAAAAUGAGUGUCUUAGGAGGGUUGUUGGUCGUAAACCUUCAAAUACCAUUAGAAGGUUAACCUUCAUGUACAAAUCUUUUAACACACUCAAGCCCACACUGAUAUGUAGAGUGUAUAGUGUUAGAUGAACAGGGCUUGCGUUUUAUGAUGGUAUUGGAGAUGAAAAUGCUAUGAUUAUAUAUUACAACAUUUAUUCUAUGUACUUCUAUCAUGCUUCUGAAUCCUGAUUGUUUAUUUUUAUCCAUGUGAUGAUAAAAAGAAAAUGCUUUGAAGCAUGUUUGGGUGUGUGGUAGCAAUUUUUAUUUUGUGUUGGAAAUACCUGUCCAGGGGAGAUAAGUUGUGUUUAAUUUGUGGUCUUUGUUUUCAUGGCUUGUUUUUAUGGUCUGUGGUCUUUGUUUUCAUCCCUUGUUAUGAUCUCCAGUUUCCUUGAUCUCCUCUUGGUGUUUACGUGAUUGAUCUAA
RNAcentral lists this unclassified non-coding RNA (575 nucleotides) under Hevea brasiliensis (rubber tree). Lineage: Eukaryota; Viridiplantae; Streptophyta; Magnoliopsida; Malpighiales; Euphorbiaceae. The record is from RNAcentral.